Molecule: long non-coding RNA, 401 nt
Organism: Phascolarctos cinereus (koala)
Lineage: Eukaryota; Metazoa; Chordata; Mammalia; Diprotodontia; Phascolarctidae
Source: RefSeq, a predicted model, not a curated record
CUUGAUCAGUUUUUGUGUGACCAGGAAGACGGAUGACCUAAUUCACUCAUUCCUUAGUGAGGAAGGUUUGAAGGAAUAGAAAGCGCUGAGGAAGGGAACCGCAUACAGACUUUUCAUCUCUGAGGAAAGCUCGCUACUUCAAGGACCUGGGAAAAUUCAUUUUGUCAGGAGACAGCAUGGCAUGAUGGAAGGAACAUCAGGGGAUCUGGGCUUGAGUUCUGCCUCUGAUGCUUACGAAGGUGUGACCUUGGGCAAGUCUCCUGAUGACCCCAGGCCUCAGUGGCUUCUUAAAAGAGGACAUUGGGUUAAAUGGUCCCUGAGGCCCCUUCCCACUCUGUGAUUAUUUUGUAAUAUAAUGUUACCAUGACUUAACAUUUUUAAUUGAAUUCAGCAAAAAUUCA